GAAUUAUGCUUCCAAAAACAUUUUAAGUCCCAAUUUAAUUCACUCUUUCUGGUUUUGUUCCCAAGAAGAAUAAAGUUAAGUCAUGUGUUGUGAGCAACUUUCUUCAAAAUAGCCUGCCAGUAUUUCUCCUCUGUUGGGUAAAACCAGCAGGUGACUCAUAUCACUGGGCAAGCUGAUGAUUAUUUUCAUAUUUUCUUUCUCUGAUAAGAGACCCAGAACAGGGUUUCCCUUUAUGCCUGGAAGGCUGGGGAAUGCAGUGAAGUGUCUGAGUCUGUGGAAGUUCCAUAGUGGACGGGGAAGGAAUUAUUACCAUGUUCACAAUUUGCCAGUGUGGUAACAACAGAUUAGAAAGCAUCUUUGCAAAAAUCUGUCAGUAAAAAAGCAUGCAGCUUCCCAAUGGACGAAUGGACAAAUACAAUUGGAUAAUAUAUACAAUGGAAUAUUAGCCUGAAAAGGAAGAUGAUUCUGACAUAUGCUGUAACAUGAAUGAAUCUUGAGGAUUCACUUAUGCUAAGUGAAAUAAGCAAGCCACAGUGGAAAAUACUGUAUGAUUUCACUUACAAGAGGUAUGUAAAGAAGUUAAAGUCUUUAAAACAGAAGCCAGAAAGAUGACUGACAGGGGUAGCAGAAAGGAAGUUGGUUAACGGGUAUAAUCUGGACAUCUAUUGUAUGACAAUGUGAUUAUGCUUGCAAACUGUUGA
This is a long non-coding RNA of Bos indicus x Bos taurus (hybrid cattle), 701 nucleotides long. The record is from Ensembl. NCBI's taxonomy places the organism in Eukaryota, Metazoa, Chordata, Mammalia, Artiodactyla, Bovidae.